GUGUCAGCCGCCGCGGUAAGACAGAGGGUGCAAGCGUUGUUCGGAAUUACUGGGCGUAAAGGGCGCGUAGGCGGUCCGCUAAGUCUGGUGUGAAAUCCCCCGGCUCACCCGGGGAAGCGCGCCGGAAACUGACGGACUCGAGUACCGGAGAGGAGGGUGGAAUUCCUGGUGUAGCGGUGAAAUGCGUAGAUAUCAGGAGGAACACCGGUGGCGAAGGCGGCCCUCUGGACGAGUACUGACGCUGAGGCGCGAAAGCGUGGGGAUCAAACAGGAUUAGAAACCCUCGUAGUCC
RNAcentral lists this ribosomal RNA (292 nucleotides) under uncultured bacterium. RNAcentral describes it as "partial 16S ribosomal RNA". It matches the Rfam family "Bacterial small subunit ribosomal RNA", at positions 505 to 796 of the family's 1533-position model. The record is from RNAcentral.